Molecule: long non-coding RNA, 570 nt
Filed under: Cricetulus griseus (Chinese hamster)
Lineage: Eukaryota; Metazoa; Chordata; Mammalia; Rodentia; Cricetidae
Description: lncRNA (ENSCGRG00000024235.1)
Source: RNAcentral
GUGGAUUGUGCCCGCUUUAUGAGAGAAAUGGUUGUGUUGUUCACCCUUGUGCUCCAGUAUGCAUCUGAUAACCAAAAAUGGAAGUGUUGUCCAGGUUGGAGAAUUGUUGCCCUGUAAGAUCUGUGGAAGAACAUUCUUUCCAUUAGCACUGGUGAGUAGAUGGAGUCUAGCCUGUGUGCACUGGGACCCAGUAGACUUGUGGUAGUUUCACGCUUGAGGACCGUUGUUGUGGCUGAAGGUUAUGGAACAUUCACAGAGGGUAAUCUUUGAGGAUGAGUUUCAUCUGAAAAUGGCUAAACUUCUGAACUCCACUUUUAUACGCCAAAUCUUCCAGCUUUGUAGGAAUAUUAUGAGAUAGAAACACAAUACACAAAUCUAAGAGGCAAAGCACCUCAUAAAUACAAAUGAGAAUGUAUUAACAAACUGCUAUAAUCUCGAGAAUUUGCUUUAAAAGUACUCCAGGAACAGGAAUUGUUGAGAAGUAAGUUUUCUUCAGUUUUAAGUCAUCCAAAGCAAAGGUUUUGUUGUUUCAACAAUAUAAAAGUACAGCUAAAAAUAUGUUAAUGUCAU